Molecule: transfer RNA, 72 nt
Filed under: Diaphorina citri (Asian citrus psyllid)
Lineage: Eukaryota; Metazoa; Arthropoda; Insecta; Hemiptera; Psyllidae
Rfam family: tRNA
About the family: Transfer RNA (tRNA) molecules are approximately 80 nucleotides in length. Their secondary structure includes four short double-helical elements and three loops (D, anti-codon, and T loops). Further hydrogen bonds mediate the characteristic L-shaped molecular structure. tRNAs have two regions of fundamental functional importance: the anti-codon, which is responsible for specific mRNA codon recognition, and the 3' end, to which the tRNAs corresponding amino acid is attached (by aminoacyl-tRNA synthetases). tRNAs cope with the degeneracy of the genetic code in two manners: having more than one tRNA (with a specific anti-codon) for a particular amino acid; and 'wobble' base-pairing, i.e. permitting non-standard base-pairing at the 3rd anti-codon position.
Source: Rfam by way of RNAcentral
GCCUCGGUGAUGUAGUGGUCAAGACGCUCGCCUGACAAUCAGGAGGGCUUGGGUUCAAUCCCACCCGAGGCG